This 465-nucleotide ribosomal RNA is filed under the name uncultured bacterium. RNAcentral describes it as "partial 16S ribosomal RNA". It matches the Rfam family "Bacterial small subunit ribosomal RNA", at positions 28 to 507 of the family's 1533-position model. The record is from RNAcentral.
GACGAACGCUGGCGGCGUGCUUAACACAUGCAAGUCGAACGGAAAGGCCCUGCUUGCAGGGUACUCGAGUGGCGAACGGGUGAGUAACACGUGGGUGAUCUGCCCUGCACUUCGGGAUAAGCCUGGGAAACUGGGUCUAAUACCGGAUAGGAGCCAUUUUUAGUGUGAUGGUUGGAAAGUUUUUUCGGUGUAGGAUGAGCUCGCGGCCUAUCAGCUUGUUGGUGGGGUAAUGGCCUACCAAGGCGGCGACGGGUAGCCGGCCUGAGAGGGUGGACGGCCACAUUGGGACUGAGAUACGGCCCAGACUCCUACGGGAGGCAGCGGUGGGGAAUAUUGCACAAUGGGCGCAAGCCUGAUGCAGCGACGCCGCGUGGGGGAUGACGGCCUUCGGGUUGUAAACUCCUUUCGCUAGGGACGAAGCUUUUUGUGACGGUACCUAGAUAAGAAGCACCGGCUAACUACGUG